This 253-nucleotide ribosomal RNA is filed under the name uncultured bacterium. Its description in RNAcentral is "partial 16S ribosomal RNA". It matches the Rfam family "Bacterial small subunit ribosomal RNA", at positions 524 to 776 of the family's 1533-position model. The record is from RNAcentral.
UACAGAGGGUGCAAGCGUUAAUCGGAAUUACUGGGCGUAAAGGGUGCGUAGGCGGCUUGUUAAGUCAGGAGUGAAAGUUUGCGGCUCAACCGUAAAAUUGCUUUUGAUACUGGCAGGCUAGAAUUAGGAUGAGGUUAGCGGAAUGUGGCAUGUAGCGGUGAAAUGCAUAGAUAUGCCAUAGAACACCAAUUGCGAAGGCAGCUGGCUAGACCUAUAUUGACGCUGAGGCACGAAAGCGUGGGGAGCGAACAGG